AUUCACUGCCAUAUCUGGAUGAGUUCUUCUGAGCUUCUGCUUCACUGGCACACACUCAGGCUUCAGAGGCAGGAAAUGUUGCACAAUAUCUGUAUCUAAACCUGGCAUGCCUUCGUACGACCAAGCAAAGAUAUCGGAAUAUUCUCGUAGCAAACUGAUCAACCCCUUCUUGACAGACUCUUCAAGGAGUACCCCAAUCUUC
RNAcentral lists this long non-coding RNA (202 nucleotides) under Lathyrus oleraceus (garden pea). Its description in RNAcentral is "Pisum sativum (pea) long non-coding RNA (PSAT_LNC020053)". The record is from RNAcentral. Lineage: Eukaryota; Viridiplantae; Streptophyta; Magnoliopsida; Fabales; Fabaceae.